Small nuclear RNA from Ailuropoda melanoleuca (giant panda), 107 nucleotides. NCBI's taxonomy places the organism in Eukaryota, Metazoa, Chordata, Mammalia, Carnivora, Ursidae. The record is from Ensembl.
GUGCUCGCUUGGCCAGCAUGCAUACUAAAAUUGGAACAAUGCAGAGAAGAUUAGCAUGUCCCCUGUGCAAGGAUGACACACAAACUCAUGAAACAUCCCAUAUUUUU